UACCGCGAUCAAGAGGAUACA
RNAcentral lists this unclassified non-coding RNA (21 nucleotides) under Dictyostelium discoideum. Lineage: Eukaryota; Evosea; Eumycetozoa; Dictyosteliales; Dictyosteliaceae. The record is from RNAcentral.